This 253-nucleotide ribosomal RNA is filed under the name uncultured bacterium. Its description in RNAcentral is "partial 16S ribosomal RNA". It matches the Rfam family "Bacterial small subunit ribosomal RNA", at positions 524 to 776 of the family's 1533-position model. The record is from RNAcentral.
UACGAAGGGGGCAAGCGUUGUUCGGAAUUACUGGGCGUAAAGGGCGCGUAGGCGGCCGAUCAAGUCAGGCGUGAAAUUCCCGGGCUCAACCUGGGGGCUGCGCUUGAUACUGAUUGGCUUGUAUGCGGGAGAGGAUAGUGGAAUUCCCAGUGUAGAGGUGAAAUUCGUAGAUAUUGGGAAGAACACCGGUGGCGAAGGCGGCUUACUGGUCCGGUUCUGACGCUGAGGCGCGAAAGCGUGGGGAGCAAACAGG